This 2615-nucleotide long non-coding RNA is filed under the name Canis lupus familiaris (dog). Its description in RNAcentral is "lncRNA (ENSCAFG00845020793.1)". Lineage: Eukaryota; Metazoa; Chordata; Mammalia; Carnivora; Canidae. The record is from RNAcentral.
UUAGCAUGAGCUAGGAUAUGCUGCUUUAACAUAUAACCACAAAUCAUUUUGGCUUCACAAAACAAGACUAAUUUUUUUUAUUUAUAAAAAGUUCACCUUGGGUUUAGGAAACUCAGUGGCAUUUCUCAUCUAUCUAGCCUCUGCCCUCCUGGGUCUUGGCCAUCCAUCACAACAAAAGGACUCCUACAUAAUAGCUGCAGUUGUAGGAUAAUGAGAUAAAAAAAAUCCUUGGGGGAUCUUCACUGCCUCUGCUUGAAAGCGAUUCAUUUUAUUAGCCAGAACCAGUCAUGUGGCCUUACCUCACUGAAAGGAAGUUAAGAAGUGCAGUUCCUGUAAGUCAAGGCAGGAAAAGAGAACUUAAUACUGAUGAGUAAUGGUAAAUUUUACUAUGAUUUGCUCUUCCAGUUCUAAUAUGUUAAGUUUAAUUUCCCUCCAAAAUAUAUACCCCCUUGCCAAGGAAGACUCUUGGGCUACCAAGACUACUAAUUUUGUCCAAAAACAGCUCUAAACUCUAAGUGUUGUGCAAUAAUGUUCUCUCCAUCAGAUUUCUAUAUGGUUCCUCUUAGACAGGAAACCUAUCAAUGCUACCUACAAUCCUUCCCACACACAUUUAGCAUAUAAUAGUAGAAUAUAGCUAAGAUAAUUGUAAUAAACAUUCUCAUUCUGAAAGGAAAGAUGAAAGAAACAUGAGUCAUCAGUCCUUAUAAAUUCUGAAAUCCCAAUGGGCAAACGUUGUGUGAACCUAUCUUGAAGGUAGAGAAUAUUCCUUGAUGAUAUUCUUAUCCUGCUCUCCCAGAAGUUCCCUUUCCAGUGUCCUUAGCAGCCUCCUAGUUCCAUUUUCUAAAAGCAUUUUUGCCUUAUCUCACAUCUAUAUCUGAAGUGGACUUGGAGGAAUAAGAUUUUCAUAGAGACUAUAACAGUUUCUCAAUACACUACCUGCCUGUGGAAGCAUGGGGGCCCAAGGAUCAUUUUGUCAAUGAAUGUUAACAUUUAUUGGAUGCUUUCUAUGUGAUAGACAUUAUACCAAGCAAUUGCAUGCAUUUAAUCCUCACAAUAGCCUUUUGAAAUGGCAUUAUAAUUAUUCCUGUUUAAAUUGCCCAGUGUUCCAUAGCUAGUCCAUAAUGGAACUUGGAUUCAAACCCUGCUCUGAUAUCAAUCUGUAAUGUUUCAUUUAUUUCUAUUGUCUUUAUACUCCUGAGUUAAAUGGAUUGUUCCAGAAAUUGUUAGAUGUGAUUCCAGGAGUUGCUGAACAUAAUCAUUGUUUUUGAUAAAUGCAAAGGUCAUUUUUAAGUCUCAGAAUCAUAGGCUUUCUCCAUCGAGGCUACCAGUUUCUUUAGCAACACGAUACUAUAUAAACACACAGAUACACUCACACUUGCACACAUGCACACACACACACACACACACACACAGAGCAGGGCUUUUGUAUAUUGAGAUCCAUUCAGAUCCUUGUACCAGUAACCAAACCCACAGUUGCUUUAAAAAUAUCCUUUACAGAUAUUCAGUUCCAGGUUUCUUCUCUAAUUUUAUUGAUUUUUUUUUGUUCCCUUACUUUUAUCUAUCAACUUAUUGAGUCUGUUUUGAAUGGUAGAUAAAAAAUCUACACCAUAAAUCUGAUAUUUAUCUUCAGCUAUUUUAAAAAUUGAUAUUAAUUUAUUGGGCAUUGAACCCUAAUCUGAUUUGUUUCAAAGCACUUCAGUCUUUUGAGAAAUUUUACCAAAAUGUGGGGAGACUUUUAUUAUUGUUGCAUAGCUGAGUUUUAUAGUUUUUUUUUUUAUUUUCAAAGCCACUGUAAUGUUCAUCACUUAUAGUUUGAAAUCAAAAGCAGUCAUCUCACCAAUAUUGGAAAAUCCAGAAUGUUUCUAAUUCCACCAUUCUAUAUAGCCAAUUCUUUCCUGAACUGAUCAGUUUCCUGAAAUGUCCUAUAUAAUGUGGCCAACUUCAUCCAAAAUACACUAUUAAAAUACUCUUUCCCAGCUUUUUGCUCUAGACAUUCAGGUUAAGAAGACAAGUUCAUUGUCUACAUUAUCUAACUUGCAAAAUUACACCAGGCAACAAUUUUACCACUCUGUCAUAUAUGACAAAUGUUCUAUCACUUAUUAUAAAUCACCAUAUUUCCAGAUACCUAUAAAGCAAUGCCACAUUUGAGGUUUUUGUUAUGAGAACAUCUCACCUCCAGUACUAAUUUUCUGUAUUAGGGGAGUUUCUUGGUUGUUCUCAAGAUCAUUCCCAGGUCUAGUGUUCACUAAAAGGACUAAUGGAACCCAUAAGUCAUUAUACUCAUGGUUAUGGUUUAUUACUGUGAAAAGAUACAAAUCAGAAUCAGCAAAAUAGGUACAUCAGGCAAAGUCUGGAGGAAACUAGGGGCAAAUUUCAAGAGUUUUCUCUUGAAUGAAAUGGAAUCAACCAGGAAACACUUAAUACUUUCUGCUAUAAGCUGUUGCUACAUGUAUGAAGUGCUGUCUACCAGGAAAGUUUGCUUGAACCUAAGAGUUUUUAAUGAGAAUCACACAUAAAGUAUAGAAUACCUUCAUGACUGACUGUAGUUACCAAAACUGCAGAAUUCCAAAAACUGAGCAGGUAUCCACCAUAAAUCACAUUGUUUGCAUAAACUA